AUUGAACGCUGGCGGCAGGCUUAACACAUGCAAGUCGAGCGGGGUGAUGGUGCUUGCACUAUCACUUAGCGGCGGACGGGUGAGUAAUGCUUAGGAAUCUGCCUAUUAGUGGGGGACAACAUCUCGAAAGGGAUGCUAAUACCGCAUACGUCCUACGGGAGAAAGCAGGGGAUCACUUGUGACCUUGCGCUAAUAGAUGAGCCUAAGUCGGAUUAGCUAGUUGGUGGGGUAAAGGCCUACCAAGGCGACGAUCUGUAGCGGGUCUGAGAGGAUGAUCCGGCACACUGGGACUGGGACACGGCCCAGACUCCUACGGGAGGCAGCAGUGGGGGAUAUUGGACAAUGGGGGGAACCGUGAUCCAGCCAUGCCGCGUGUGUGAAGAAGGCCUUAUGGUUGUAAAGCACUUUAAGCGAGGAGGAGGCUCUUUUGGUCAAUACCCAAGAUGAGUGGACGUUACCCGCAGAAUAAGCACCGGCUAACUCUGUGCCAGCCGCCGCAGUAA
This 503-nucleotide ribosomal RNA is filed under the name uncultured bacterium. Its description in RNAcentral is "partial 16S ribosomal RNA". It matches the Rfam family "Bacterial small subunit ribosomal RNA", at positions 30 to 523 of the family's 1533-position model. The record is from RNAcentral.